Molecule: long non-coding RNA, 103 nt
Organism: Vespa mandarinia (Asian giant hornet)
Lineage: Eukaryota; Metazoa; Arthropoda; Insecta; Hymenoptera; Vespidae
Source: RefSeq, a predicted model, not a curated record
AUUUUAUAUUAUAAUAGUAAAGACAAUUAGCUUCGACUUAUCGUGAGUAAGAAACAAUAUGAAAACAAAUGCAUAACGAUCAUUAGAUACAUGUUUCUUCUUC